This 251-nucleotide ribosomal RNA is filed under the name uncultured bacterium. Its description in RNAcentral is "partial 16S ribosomal RNA". It matches the Rfam family "Bacterial small subunit ribosomal RNA", at positions 81 to 334 of the family's 1533-position model. The record is from RNAcentral.
CUCCCUGGCGGCGAGUGGCGCACGGGUGAGUAACACGUAUCCAACCUGCCUCAUACUCGGGGAUAGCCUUUCGAAAGAAAGAUUAAUAUCCGAUAGCAUAUAUUUCCCGCAUGGGUUUUAUAUUAAAGAAAUUCGGUAUGAGAUGGGGAUGCGUUCCAUUAGUUUGUUGGGGGGUAACGGCCCACCAAGACUACGAUGGAUAGGGGUUCUGAGAGGAAGGUCCCCCACAUUGGAACUGAGACACGGUCCAA